This is a regulatory RNA element of Rhizobacter gummiphilus, 53 nucleotides long. It matches the Rfam family "L17-Actino-Proteobacteria ribosomal protein leader". The record is from Rfam. Lineage: Bacteria; Pseudomonadati; Pseudomonadota; Betaproteobacteria; Burkholderiales; Sphaerotilaceae.
CUGGGUGGCCGCAAGCCACCCGGUGCCCCGGCAGUACCUGACACGGCUGCCGG